This 720-nucleotide ribosomal RNA is filed under the name Erwinia billingiae. RNAcentral describes it as "bacterial SSU rRNA". It matches the Rfam family "Bacterial small subunit ribosomal RNA", at positions 61 to 772 of the family's 1533-position model. The record is from RNAcentral. Lineage: Bacteria; Pseudomonadati; Pseudomonadota; Gammaproteobacteria; Enterobacterales; Erwiniaceae.
GUCGAACGGUAGCACAGAGAGCUUGCUCUUGGGUGACGAGUGGCGGACGGGUGAGUAAUGUCUGGGAAACUGCCUGAUGGAGGGGGAUAACUACUGGAAACGGUAGCUAAUACCGCAUAACGUCUUCGGACCAAAGUGGGGGACCUUCGGGCCUCACACCAUCGGAUGUGCCCAGAUGGGAUUAGCUAGUAGGUGGGGUAAUGGCUCACCUAGGCGACGAUCCCUAGCUGGUCUGAGAGGAUGACCAGCCACACUGGAACUGAGACACGGUCCAGACUCCUACGGGAGGCAGCAGUGGGGAAUAUUGCACAAUGGGCGCAAGCCUGAUGCAGCCAUGCCGCGUGUAUGAAGAAGGCCUUCGGGUUGUAAAGUACUUUCAGCGGGGAGGAAGGCGGUAAGGUUAAUAACCUUAUCGAUUGACGUUACCCGCAGAAGAAGCACCGGCUAACUCCGUGCCAGCAGCCGCGGUAAUACGGAGGGUGCAAGCGUUAAUCGGAAUUACUGGGCGUAAAGCGCACGCAGGCGGUCUGUCAAGUCAGAUGUGAAAUCCCCGGGCUUAACCUGGGAACUGCAUUUGAAACUGGCAGGCUAGAGUCUUGUAGAGGGGGGUAGAAUUCCAGGUGUAGCGGUGAAAUGCGUAGAGAUCUGGAGGAAUACCGGUGGCGAAGGCGGCCCCCUGGACAAAGACUGACGCUCAGGUGCGGAAGCGUGGGGAGCAAA